UAGGUUGGCGUCGGCGAUCCCCUUGGAAUGGCAGUAACCCACGCAUUGGCCUCGGGAAUGGGCGGAAUGCGGGCAGCCGGAGAUCUGGUUGCCCGUAUGC
The sequence is a regulatory RNA element, 100 nucleotides long. It matches the Rfam family "Pyrrolysine insertion sequence mtbB". The record is from Rfam.